Molecule: ribosomal RNA, 470 nt
Filed under: uncultured bacterium
Lineage: Bacteria
Description: bacterial SSU rRNA
Rfam family: Bacterial small subunit ribosomal RNA
Source: RNAcentral
GGGCCCGCACAAGCGGUGGAGUAUGUGGUUUAAUUCGACGCAACGCGAAGAACCUUACCUGGCCUUGACAUCCCAGGAACACCUAUGAAAGUAGGUGGUGUCCCCUCACGGGGAAGCCUGGUGACAGGUGCUGCAUGGCUGUCGUCAGCUCGUGUCGUGAGAUGUUCGGUUAAGUCCGGCAACGAGCGCAACCCCUGUUGUUAGUUGCCAUCAUUCAGUUGGGCACUCUAACAAGACUCCCGGUGACAAGCCGGAGGAAGAUGGGGAUGACGUCAAGUCCUCAUGGCCCUUACGGCCAGGGCUACACACGUACUACAAUGGCGACUACAAAGGGCAGCGAGACCGCGAGGUGGAGCCAAUCCCAAAAAAGUCGCCUCAGUUCGGAUUGGAGUCUGCAACUCGACUCCAUGAAGUCGGAAUCGCUAGUAAUCGUGGAUCAGAAUGCCACGGUGAAUACGUUCCCGGGCCUU